Molecule: non-coding RNA, 556 nt
Organism: Anas platyrhynchos (mallard)
Lineage: Eukaryota; Metazoa; Chordata; Aves; Anseriformes; Anatidae
Source: RefSeq, a predicted model, not a curated record
UCUGGUUGCUCCCUCUCUCUAAAUACCCGCAGAUAAACCCCUGGGUCCGAAGCCCUGCACAGCACUUCAUGACUUGGGCCAUUCAGCAGAAUGAGGAGCUUUCCACACACCCCACUGAGAUUUAACAGAACUAACAAGGACUGUAACAGGACUUCUUUUCUACUUAUGCUGCAAAUUCAAGCAGUGCCCUGGAACAUGAAAACCAUGGAAGUGUUCAACGUGUGAGAGAAAAAUAGAGAAUGAAGAGUUGGUAUCUGGAAAGGUUUGACUUGCUAUGUCUUGAUCCCGCUGACACAACCUGGUUAUCUUAUGUGGCUCUAGUGACGACCAAGGCAAACCAGGAUCAGUAGGUAUUUAUUCACCCAUGACCAUCUUGGAAUGCUGCUCAACGUGUUUCUAACUCUGAACUGGCAACAAGAAUAUGCUAUAUGUUUUUAUAAAGCUUUGUAUACCACAAAAUUUUAAGAAAACUGGGUAUUUGGGGAAGUUAACCGAAUCAGAAUUUUUCCUUGGUACAAAAGAAUAAAACAGGCCGGAACUCUGCCAUGACUAUAUC